This 24-nucleotide small nuclear RNA is filed under the name Arabidopsis thaliana (thale cress). RNAcentral describes it as "snRNA_16329". Lineage: Eukaryota; Viridiplantae; Streptophyta; Magnoliopsida; Brassicales; Brassicaceae. The record is from RNAcentral.
AAAAGAACAACACAUGUCCUAUCU